CCAGUCCCAUCUGGCGCCAUGUUUUUUCUUACAGCAGAAUUCUUCAAUCUUUUCUCUCUGAGGAACACCUUUCAACAGUUCUUGUAACGUUGUUGUGUCUAAAUCCUGGUUGUGCUAGCACAAUGGGCUGUAGGUUGCUGAGAGACUGAAGAAGGUAAAGAUGACUUGUGGAAGUAAGGUUUACGAUGUACUUACAGAGGAAGGGGUUAAUUAGUACUCGCUAAUAAGGAAGGCUUCUGAAUGAGUGCAUUCAGGAGCAGUGGUGUUACUUGGGAUACGCAGGAGGACCCUACAGCACCCCUUGGCAAAGUCCCAUGGCGGGCGUGGCCUCAACACCGUGCUCCUCAGGUCCCAUGAGUGGCAUGUACACAGCCGUGACACUGCACGGGAAAUCCACAGGGAACACACUAUAGAACAGCCUCCCUCAGUAAAACCGCAAGGGCUGCAUACUUACUAGUAGCAGUCUUCACAGGGAAAGGAUUUUCUAGAUGAGGCUACCCAGGUAGUGACAUCAUUAACUUGCUUUAGUUCCGUUGUCUGAUCGGCAUUUCAAGGAACAGCUAACUUAGUAUAUGAGCAGGAAGGUGGUUUCCAUAGAUAAUGCUCGUUACCACUUCCCAGUGUCCUUGGGAUCACAGUCAUCUAGGCAGUUUGUUCUCUUAACUUGGCCAGAGUCUUGGGGUACAAAUGCUGUGUUUCAGGAGUUUGAUGCCAAAUGUCUUUUUCUCAGGGAAAAUACAUGCAUUCCCCAUGUACCUGAAUUCCUUUUCCGUCUCAUCCUGCCCGUCCUUUGCAAUAUCCUCUUGGUAUCUCCAAGAUAUACUUUGCAACCAAAUCCCACACUAGCAGUGUGAAAAGCAGUAGAUUGUGACAAGCCCUGCUAGGGGAGCAGGCAAAUUGCAGUAAACAUUUCUUCAGGUAGCAGGAAGAGAUUGUAACCAAGUAGAAGUAAGAUUGUUUAUCUGUAGCUAUAACAUGGUUUUGGAAUUUAUGGACUUAAAGAUGUAUUAUUGAUAGAGCAACGUUAUACAGUAAGAGAGGCCUUUGGCUUGCCUCCAUUUUUUUUUCCUUCCACAAAAUGUUCUAGAAAUGUAAGUUUGUGUGGCUGGGCAGCAUACCUGCCCAUUGUAUCAAAAUGUUUAGUGACUGUGUGACCACAGGGAUGUUCGUUAGCUCUGCGCCUUUCACGAAUGUUCUGUAACUGCCCCCCUGCGUCAGUGAGCGUGCUUGCCUACCCAGUAGACCCCUAUAUAAGGAGGCUUCCAUUUCUAGUCAAGCACUCAGACUUCAGAGUACGGGCUCUCUGAGCCUGCCAGAAUAAUAAAGGAUUUUCUCUGCCUCUUCGAGUGACCAUGGGAUUCUUGAGUCUUCAAAUUGUGAUAGCCAAGACCCAGAGCUGUGACACUGAGCUGUAGCACUCAGUUGUGCCUCAGAGCUGUAGCACUUGGCUGUGACACUUGGCUAUGGCACUGAGCCUGAGCUGUUCUUUUCCACAGCAUUAUGAGAAUUACUGGAAACACAAAGUUUUACUUUAUGAGAGUACAGGUGCCCCCGAGUGCAUUAGCAAACUAAUUGAGACUGUAAAACACUGGGCGGGCAUCCCCAGAAAGAUAUAGUUAUGCCCUUCUUUUCCCAAGUCUAUAGAGUGGUUGUCUCGUAUUCAUGAAACUGUUCCUAUUUGUAAGUAUCAGGCCCUGCAUUUUUUAAUGGCGGUUCUGUUCAUUCAAAUUCAGAGUGUCUCAGGACAAUCUUGGGCUUUGACUAGACCUUUGUAAUAGUUAUCAUAGGCACUCGGUGUGUGAACACUUUCUUUACAAGACUUUGGUUUUUGUAAGGCUGACGUAAGUGACUCCAUUUUGAUUUUGACAACUCCAAAGCUUUUCUUUAUAUUUCUCCCUUGUUUUUGUGCUUGUCUUUCUGAAGACACUGCUGAUCCAUCAUCCUGUGGUCACAUUGUUAACAUCCCCAUUGGUGUGAUAACAUUUUGGUUGCUGGUCUGAUUUCAUUCCACGGAAAAGCUCUGUGAGAGGAAAUGAGUGUGAACAGAAAGAAUGUAACCACCAACUUGUGCAGUAAAUGUUGGGUUUGCACAGCAUCGUGUGAACUCAUAAAUUAGUACGGAUCACUUCUGCUGUCUGUCUCAUCCUUCUUUCUGAAAACAUGUUUGGGAUGUUUUAGGAGGCAGUGACCUUUGAGGAUGUGGCUGUGAACUUCACUCAGGAGGAGUGGGCGCUGCUGAACCCUUCCCAGAAGCAUCUCUACAGAGCUGUGAUGCAGGAGACCUUCUGGAACCUGGCUUCUGUGGGUCAAAAAUGGCCAUACCAGACCAUUGAAGAUGUGUACAAAAAUCUCAACAGAAAUCUGAGAUGUCAAGUGCUGAAAAAAUUCUUGAAACAUAAAGAAAAUAGACAACACGGAGAAAUGUGCGGCAGGAUUCCAGAUCAUAGAAUGAAGAAGAAAAUUGGGGUGAAACGGCGUAAAAGCCAUCUGUGUAGAGAAGUGGCCAGUAGUCUUUCAUCGUUUCCGAGAGACAUAAUAAUUAGCCAUGGACACAGGCUAUCUGAGUAUCAGGACUGUACAGAGAGGCCCCAUGAAUGUAAAAAAUGUGAUAAAGCUUUUAAGUGGCCCUGUGACCUUCGAAACCACGAAAGGACUCACACUGGAGAGAAACCUUACACAUGUGUGCAAUGUGGGAAAACUUUUGCUUGUUCCACCUACUAUCGAAGACAUGCACAAAUUCACACUGGAGAAAAACCCUAUAGGUGCCAGCAAUGUGGGAAAUCCUUCCGGUGUUCCAGUUUCCUUGAAAUACAUGAAAGAAUCCACACUGGAGAGAAACCUUUUAUAUGUAAGCAUUGUGCAAAAGCCUUCACUCGUGCCAGUACUCUUCGAAUACAUGAAAGAAACCAUAGUGGAGAGAAACCUUAUGUGUGUGAGCUAUGUGGGAAAGCUUUCCGAGAGUACGGCAAAAUGCUUAGGCAUGGAAAAACUCAUAAUGAGGACCGACACUGUGCAUGUGAGGAAUGUGGGAGAGUCUUCAGGAGCUAUGGUUACUUGCAGAAGCAUAUAAGGAUUCAUGCUCGCGAGAAACCCUACAUAGAAGAAUGUGGAAGGCCUCUUCAUCCCCCAACCACUGUAGGUGGCUACAGCACACCUCAGGAUGCCUAGAGGAGGGCGUCACGUCCAGGUAGAUUGUGGAAAAGCCUCUAGCACCUGGGUUCCGUUCACGGGGCUGCAAGAACACAGUAUUGAAAAAAACAUCAUUAGUAAAAGAGAUCUGAAAAACUCUUUAGUUGGCCCAUGUGUAAGCAUGUACACUGGAUCGAAACUAUGUCAAUGAGACAAAUAAAAGAAAGCUGUCAAAUGUAAUAGUUUCAUUGUCUACAAAAACUCCUCUGUCUUGAAAGCCUAUGAAUGUAAGUAAUAUAAAAGCCAUAAUGCCAUACUUCAUCUGAAGAAA
Molecule: long non-coding RNA, 3460 nt
Organism: Fukomys damarensis (Damara mole-rat)
Lineage: Eukaryota; Metazoa; Chordata; Mammalia; Rodentia; Bathyergidae
Exons: 3
Source: RefSeq, a predicted model, not a curated record